CUAUAAUGCAAGUCGAGGGGUAGAGGAGAGCUUGCUUUCCUUGAGACCGGCGCACGGGUGCGUAACGCGUAUGCAACCUACCCUUUUCUGGGGGAUAGCCCGAAGAAAUUCGGAUUAAUACCGCAUAAGACCACGACACGGCAUCGUGACGGGGUCAAACAUUUAUGGGAGAAGGAUGGGCAUGCGUGCCAUUAGCUAGUUGGCGGGGUAACGGCCCACCAAGGCUACGAUGGCUAGGGGAUCUGAGAGGAUGGCCCCCCACACUGGUACUGAGACACGGACCAGACUCCUACGGGAGGCAGCAGUAAGGAAUAUUGGUCAAUGGGCGCAAGCCUGAACCAGCCAUGCCGCGUGCAGGAAGACGGCCCUCCGGGUUGUAAACUGCUUUUGUACGGGAAUAAACCUCCGAUCGUGAUCGGAGCUGAAUGUACCGUAAGAAUAAGGAUCGGCUAACUCCGUGCCAGCAGCCGCGGUAAUACGGAGGAUCCAAGCGUUAUCCGGAUUUAUUGGGUUUAAAGGGUGCGUAGGCGGCCUGUUAAGUCAGGGGUGAAAGACGGUGGCUCAACCAUCGCAGUGCCCUUGAUACUGAUGGGCUUGAAUGGACUAGAGGUAGGCGGAAUGUGACAAGUAGCGGUGAAAUGCAUAGAUAUGUCACAGAACACCGAUUGCGAAGGCAGCUUACUAUGGUCCUAUUGACGCUGAGGCACGAAAGCGUGGGGAUCGAACAGGAUUAGAUACCCUGGUAGUCCACGCCCUAAACGAUGAACACUCGCUGUUGGCGAUACACGGUCAGCGGCUAAGCGAAAGCGUUAAGUGUUCCACCUGGGGAGUACGCCCGCAAGGGUGAAACUCAAAGGAAUUGACGGGGGCCCGCACAAGCGGAGGAGCAUGUGGUUUAAUUCGAUGAUACGCGAGGAACCUUACCCGGGCUUGAAAGUUAGUGAAGUAUCCAGAGAUGGAUGCGUCCUUCGGGACACGAAACUAGUGCUGCAUGGCUGUCGUC
Molecule: ribosomal RNA, 1003 nt
Filed under: bacterium F163
Lineage: Bacteria
Description: bacterial SSU rRNA
Rfam family: Bacterial small subunit ribosomal RNA
Source: RNAcentral